GCCAGGACCGCCAUCUUGGCUCCUCCAUGACAACAAGCAGACAGACGAGCUGCGGCGAAGCUGACGGAGUCCGAGCCGAGCGGCGCGUGCUCGCUUCCCGCGUGCGCCUCAGCUUCUGUUGUCGCGAGCAGAGCAGAGAAAACUGACGAGCAACACUACAGUCCGGCAAACAAACAUAUGAGGAAGAGGAGGAUGAUGGCGGUCCAGCAUUUACAAAGAGAAAGUAACCAGUGUCAUCGCUGAAGGAAUGGCAGACAUUACUCAGACACCUGUGAACACAGACAGAGCACUGCUUGGAGUCCAAGACAGUGGACAUCAUCUUUAUUAUACUUCUGACUGAACUAGCAAGGAGCAUUAGAGACGUUGAGCAAGUAAAAUGUCUGAAUUGACUGUUUCAUCAUGUUAUUUUCUGCAGUAACUGCGGGGAAUAUUAACUGAAGAGACCUUAUCAACAGCAGGCUUUGGAUCUACUGAAUAUGUAUUUUUCAAGCAUUUUAUUGCAGGGUUCACUGUUAUUUUUUUGCAUAGCGAUGACUGGUAAAAAUGUGUUGAUUCAUUUAAUUCAAUGUAUAGUUAACCAGAAUUCUGUCAUUUAUGCUUUACCAAACCUUUGACGUUUGUUUUUCUGCAGAACUCAAACGAAGAUACUUUGAAGAAUGCUGGUAAUCAAACCCAACAAGUUUGUCAGGUGCAGAAAUGAAAGCUCCCAAACAAAGAUGUCACUGGAUUAAGAAGUGGAAAGACAUGUUACACCACUGCAACCAUAAAUCCUGAGCGAUUUGAAAGGGGGCAACAACCAUGAAAAAGUAUGCAUUGUUUGACUCAAAAAUGAUUCAUGGUAAUAGUUGUAAAUGAUUAGAUAAAGUACAAAAUGUGUUUAAUUUUAAAACUCUGCCAUUUACAGUACUAAUGUGUUGUUCAAAUACUAAGUUUUGGUGUCUCUUUACAAUAAGGUAUAUCUUUAGUUAACAUUAGUAAAUGUUGAAAUUUACAUUAAAUAACAAUGAGCAAUACAUUUGUUACAAUAUACAUUACUAUUUCAUGCUGUUAAAAAACAACA
This is a long non-coding RNA of Cyprinus carpio (common carp), 1060 nucleotides long. RefSeq lists it as uncharacterized. The record is from RefSeq and is a predicted model, not a curated record. NCBI's taxonomy places the organism in Eukaryota, Metazoa, Chordata, Actinopteri, Cypriniformes, Cyprinidae. The transcript has 4 exons.